ACUCAAAGGAAUUGACGGGGACCCGCACAAGCGGUGGAGCAUGUUCUUUAAUUCGAUGAUACGCGAGAAACCUUACCAGCCCUUGACAUGUACAUUUUGAUUUCUGGAAACAGAUUUCUUCGGUUCGGCCGGGUGUAUGCAGGUGUUGCAUGGCCGUCGUCAGCUCGUGUCGUGAGAUGUUGGGUUAAGUCCCGCAACGAGCGCAACCCCUAUUGUUAGUUGCUACCAUUUAGUUGAGCACUCUAACGAGACUGCCGAUGAUAAAUCGGAGGAAGGUGGGGAUGACGUCAGGUCAUCAUGGCCCUUACGGGCUGGGCUAGAAACGUGCUACAAUGGCGACUACAAAGGGCUGCGAGGCAGUGAUGCCAAGCCAAUCCCAAAAAGUCGUCUCAGUUCAGAUUGUAGGCUGCAAUUCGCCUACAUGAAGUUGGAAUCGCUAGUAAUCGUGGAUCAGCAUGCCACGGUGAAUACGUUCCCGGGUCUUGUACACACCGCCCGU
This 499-nucleotide ribosomal RNA is filed under the name uncultured bacterium. Its description in RNAcentral is "partial 16S ribosomal RNA". It matches the Rfam family "Bacterial small subunit ribosomal RNA", at positions 899 to 1397 of the family's 1533-position model. The record is from RNAcentral.